AUCAUAUCAAUUCCUCAUCCGACGUUGCGCCGAUGCGCUCACAGCCACCGAGCAGAGAGGAGAGGUACUGAACGUAGGACAAAAGUAUCGACUGGCCUAGUGAUCCUGACCACCACUGUCUGAAGAUCACAUCUUAUCUGACUGGCCUCCAUGUUGUCCUCAAACCGAGUCGCCCCUGCAGGACUCCAGAAUUCGUAAACUACGAAGGAGACUCCAUCCGGUAGCCGAACUGCUGUCAUACUUGACAAACGCAAAAACAGGAUAUGAUGAG
This is a long non-coding RNA of Brienomyrus brachyistius, 271 nucleotides long. RefSeq lists it as uncharacterized. The record is from RefSeq and is a predicted model, not a curated record. Lineage: Eukaryota; Metazoa; Chordata; Actinopteri; Osteoglossiformes; Mormyridae. The transcript has 3 exons.